This 249-nucleotide long non-coding RNA is filed under the name dengue virus type 2. Its description in RNAcentral is "Dengue virus type 2 partial sfRNA2". The stretch from base 170 to 241 matches the Rfam family "Flavivirus DB element". Lineage: Riboviria; Orthornavirae; Kitrinoviricota; Flasuviricetes; Amarillovirales; Flaviviridae. The record is from RNAcentral.
AAGAAGUCAGGCCACUACAAGUGCCAUAGCUUGAGCAAACUAUGCAGCCUGUAGCUCCACCUGGGAAGGUGUAAAAAAUCUGGGAGGCCACAAACCAUGGAAGCUGUACGCAUGGCGUAGUGGACUAGCGGUUAGAGGAGACCCCUCCCUUGCAAGUCGCAGCAACAAUGGGGGCCCAAGGUGAGAUGAAGCUGUAAUCUCACUGGAAGGACUAGAGGUUAGAGGAGACCCCCCCGAAAUAAAAAACAG